GACGAACGCUGGCGGCGUGCCUAAUACAUGCAAGUCGAGCGAAGUUUUUCUGGUGCUUGCACUAGAAAAACUUAGCGGCGAACGGGUGAGUAACACGUAAAGAACCUGCCUCAUAGACUGGGACAACUAUUGGAAACGAUAGCUAAUACCGGAUAACAGCAUUAACUGCAUGGUUGAUGUUUAAAAGUUGGUUUUGCUAACACUAUGAGAUGGCUUUGCGGUGCAUUAGCUAGUUGGUGGGGUAAAGGCCUACCAAGGCGACGAUGCAUAGCCGACCUGAGAGGGUGAUCGGCCACACUGGGACUGAGACACGGCCCAGACUCCUACGGGAGGCAGCAGUAGGGAAUCUUCCGCAAAGGGCGAAAGCCUGACGGAGCAACGCCGCGUGAGUGAAGAAGGAUUUCGGUUCAUAAAGCUCUGUUGUUAGGGAAGAAUGAUUGUGUAGUAACUAUACACAGUAGAGACGGUACCUAACCAGAAAGCCACGGCUAACUACGUG
This 499-nucleotide ribosomal RNA is filed under the name uncultured bacterium. RNAcentral describes it as "partial 16S ribosomal RNA". It matches the Rfam family "Bacterial small subunit ribosomal RNA", at positions 28 to 507 of the family's 1533-position model. The record is from RNAcentral.